This 156-nucleotide ribosomal RNA is filed under the name Pseudogymnoascus pannorum. Its description in RNAcentral is "5.8S ribosomal RNA". It matches the Rfam family "5.8S ribosomal RNA". From Rfam's summary of the family: 5.8S ribosomal RNA (5.8S rRNA) is a component of the large subunit of the eukaryotic ribosome. It is transcribed by RNA polymerase I as part of the 45S precursor that also contains 18S and 28S rRNA. The record is from RNAcentral. Lineage: Eukaryota; Fungi; Ascomycota; Leotiomycetes; Thelebolales; Thelebolaceae. RNAcentral also lists the same sequence under 2 other names.
AAAACUUUCAACAACGGAUCUCUUGGUUCUGGCAUCGAUGAAGAACGCAGCGAAAUGCGAUAAGUAAUGUGAAUUGCAGAAUUCAGUGAAUCAUCGAAUCUUUGAACGCACAUUGCGCCCCCUGGUAUUCCGGGGGGCAUGCCUGUCCGAGCGUCA